RNAcentral lists this ribosomal RNA (1329 nucleotides) under Apilactobacillus kunkeei. RNAcentral's name for it is "bacterial SSU rRNA". It matches the Rfam family "Bacterial small subunit ribosomal RNA", at positions 56 to 1345 of the family's 1533-position model. The record is from RNAcentral. Lineage: Bacteria; Bacillati; Bacillota; Bacilli; Lactobacillales; Lactobacillaceae.
UGCAAGUCGAACGAGCUCUCCCAAAUUGAUUUUAUGCUUGCAUAAAUGAUUUUUGGAUUCGGAGCGAGUGGCGAACUGGUGAGUAACACGUGGGUAACCUGCCCCGAAGCGGGGGAUAACAUUUGGAAACAAGUGCUAAUACCGCAUAAUUAGUUGGAACCGCAUGGUUCCAACUUGAAAGAUGGCUCUGCUAUCACUUUGGGAUGGACCCGCGCCGUAUUAGUUAGUUGGUGAGAUAAAAGCCCACCAAGACGAUGAUACGUAGCCGACCUGAGAGGGUAAUCGGCCACAUUGGGACUGAGACACGGCCCAGACUCCUACGGGAGGCAGCAGUAGGGAAUCUUCCACAAUGGACGAAAGUCUGAUGGAGCAACGCCGCGUGAGUGAUGAAGGUUUUCGGAUCGUAAAACUCUGUUGUUAAAGAAGAACAAGUGUUAGAGUAACUGUUAACACUUUGACGGUAUUUAACCAGAAAGCCACGGCUAACUACGUGCCAGCAGCCGCGGUAAUACGUAGGUGGCAAGCGUUGUCCGGAUUUAUUGGGCGUAAAGCGAGCGCAGGCGGUUUUGUAAGUCUGCUGUGAAAGCCCUCAGCUCAACUGAGGAAGUGCAGUGGAAACUACAAAACUUGAGUACAGAAGAGGAAAGUGGAACUCCAUGUGUAGCGGUGAAAUGCGUAGAUAUAUGGAAGAACACCAGUGGCGAAGGCGGCUUUCUGGUCUGUUACUGACGCUGAGGCUCGAAAGCAUGGGUAGCGAACAGGAUUAGAUACCCUGGUAGUCCAUGCCGUAAACGAUGAAUACUAGGUGUUGGAGGGUUUCCGCCCUUCAGUGCCGCAGCUAACGCAUUAAGUAUUCCGCCUGGGGAGUACGACCGCAAGGUUGAAACUCAAAGGAAUUGACGGGGGCCCGCACAAGUGGUGGAGCAUGUGGUUUAAUUCGAUGCUACGCGAAGAACCUUACCAGCUCUUGACAUCUUCUGCCAACCCAAGAGAUUGGGCGUUCCCUUCGGGGACAGAAUGACAGGUGGUGCAUGGUUGUCGUCAGCUCGUGUCGUGAGAUGUUGGGUUAAGUCCCGCAACGAGCGCAACCCUUAUUAUUAGUUGCCAGCAUUUAGUUGGGCACUCUAGUGAGACUGCCGGUGAUAAACCGGAGGAAGGUGGGGACGACGUCAAAUCAUCAUGCCCCUUAUGAGCUGGGCUACACACGUGCUACAAUGGAUGGUACAACGAGUCGCGAAACCGCGAGGUCAAGCUAAUCUCUUAAAGCCAUUCUCAGUUCGGAUUGCAGGCUGCAACUCGCCUGCAUGAAGUGGAAUCACUAGUAAUCGU